UUUUACAAUGGAGAGUUUGAUCCUGGCUCAGGAUGAACGCUAGCUACAGGCUUAACACAUGCAAGUCGAGGGGAAACGAUAUUGGAAGCUUGCUUCCGAUAGACGUCGACCGGCGCACGGGUGAGUAACGCGUAUCCAACCUGCCCAUCACUUGGGGAUAACCUUGCGAAAGUAAGACUAAUACCCAAUGACGUCCAUAGAAGACAUCUGAAGUGGAUUAAAGAUUUAUCGGUGAUGGAUGGGGAUGCGUCUGAUUAGCUUGUUGGCGGGGUAACGGCCCACCAAGGCUACGAUCAGUAGGGGUUCUGAGAGGAAGGUCCCCCA
This 324-nucleotide ribosomal RNA is filed under the name Segatella copri. Its description in RNAcentral is "bacterial SSU rRNA". It matches the Rfam family "Bacterial small subunit ribosomal RNA", at positions 1 to 310 of the family's 1533-position model. Lineage: Bacteria; Pseudomonadati; Bacteroidota; Bacteroidia; Bacteroidales; Prevotellaceae. The record is from RNAcentral.